GUGUCAGCAGCCGCGGUAAAACGUAGGAGGCAAGCGUUAUCCGGAUUUACUGGGCGUAAAGCGCGUGCAGGCGGCUCGGAAAGUUGGAUGUGAAAGCUCCCGGCUCAACUGGGAGAGGUCGUUCAAUACUUCCGGGCUAGAGAGUGGUAGAGGGAGGUGGAAUUCCGGGUGUAGUGGUGAAAUGCGUAGAUAUCCGGAGGAACACCAGUGGCGAAAGCGGCCUCCUGGACCAUUUCUGACGCUCAGACGCGAAAGCUAGGGUAGCAAACGGGAUUAGAUACCCUGGUAGUCC
RNAcentral lists this ribosomal RNA (292 nucleotides) under uncultured bacterium. Its description in RNAcentral is "partial 16S ribosomal RNA". It matches the Rfam family "Bacterial small subunit ribosomal RNA", at positions 505 to 796 of the family's 1533-position model. The record is from RNAcentral.